CCACUACUGCGUGGGUUUCCUCCGGGUGCUCUGGUUUCCUUCCACAUUCCAAAGACAUACGGGUUAGGAAGUUGUGGGCAUGCUAUGUUGGCGCCUGAAGCAUGGCGAUACUUGUGGGCUACCCCCAGAACAUUCUACACAAAGGGCAAAAAUAGCUAAUACGAGGGGAUGUAAUUUUAAGGUGAUUGGAGGAAGAUAUGAAGGAGAUGUCAGAGGUCAUCUGAUGUGUUAACGCCCAGGAAUUUAAAGCUGCUGACCCUCUCCGCCGCAGAUACAACAACGUAGGCUGGCACAUGUUUCAUCCUCCUUCUCCUUCCUAAAGUUUGGAAGUUCC
This is a long non-coding RNA of Pristis pectinata (smalltooth sawfish), 334 nucleotides long. RefSeq lists it as uncharacterized. The record is from RefSeq and is a predicted model, not a curated record. Lineage: Eukaryota; Metazoa; Chordata; Chondrichthyes; Rhinopristiformes; Pristidae. The transcript is spliced from 3 exons.